RNAcentral lists this ribosomal RNA (595 nucleotides) under uncultured Bacteroidota bacterium. Its description in RNAcentral is "bacterial SSU rRNA". It matches the Rfam family "Bacterial small subunit ribosomal RNA", at positions 122 to 715 of the family's 1533-position model. The record is from RNAcentral. Lineage: Bacteria; Pseudomonadati; Bacteroidota.
CAACCUACCUAUCAGAGGGGAAUAACCCGGCGAAAGUCGGACUAAUACCGCAUAAAACAGGGGCACCGCAUGGUGAUAUUUGUUAAAGAAAUUCGCUGAUAGAUGGGCAUGCGUUCCAUUAGGUAGUUGGUGAGGUAACGGCUCACCAAGCCGACGAUGGAUAGGGGAACUGAGAGGUUGGUCCCCCACACUGGUACUGAGACACGGACCAGACUCCUACGGGAGGCAGCAGUGAGGAAUAUUGGUCAAUGGGCGGGAGCCUGAACCAGCCAAGUCGCGUGAAGGAAGAAGGAUCUAUGGUUCGUAAACUUCUUUUGCAGGGGAAUAAAGUGCAGGACGUGACCUGUUUUGUAUGUACCCUGAGAAUAAGGAUCGGCUAACUCCGUGCCAGCAGCCGCGGUAAUACGGAGGAUCCGAGCGUUAUCCGGAUUUAUUAGGUUUAAAGGGUGCGUAGGUGGUUUGAUAAGUCAGCGGUGAAAGUUUGCAGCUUAACUGUAAAAAUGCCGUUGAAACUGUCGGACUUGAGUGUAAAUGAGGUAGGCGGAAUGCGUGGUGUAGCGGUGAAAUGCAUAGAUAUCACGAAGAACUCCGAUUG